ACGGAAGGCAGCAGUGAGGAAUAUUGGUCAAUGGGCGAGAGCCUGAACCAGCCAAGUAGCGUGAGGGAUGACUGCCCUAUGGGUUGUAAACCUCUUUUAUACGGGAAUAAAGUGCGGCACGUGUGCCGCUUUGCAUGUACCGUAAGAAUAAGCAUCGGCUAAUUCCGUGCCAGCAGCCGCGGUAAUACGGAAGAUGCGAGCGUUAUCCGGAUUUAUUGGGUUUAAAGGGAGCGUAGGCCGUGCUUUAAGCGUGUUGUGAAAUGUAGGCGCCCAACGUCUGCACUGCAGCGCGAACUGGAGCACUUGAGUACGCAGGAAGUAGGCGGAAUUCGUCGUGUAGCGGUGAAAUGCUUAGAUAUGACGAAGAACUCCGAUUGGGAAGCCAGCUUACUGUAGCGCCACUGACGCUGAUGCUCGAAAGCGUGGGUAUCGAACAGGAUUAGAUACCCUGGUA
RNAcentral lists this ribosomal RNA (454 nucleotides) under uncultured Prevotella sp. RNAcentral's name for it is "partial 16S ribosomal RNA". It matches the Rfam family "Bacterial small subunit ribosomal RNA", at positions 341 to 792 of the family's 1533-position model. The record is from RNAcentral. Lineage: Bacteria; Pseudomonadati; Bacteroidota; Bacteroidia; Bacteroidales; Prevotellaceae.